RNAcentral lists this ribosomal RNA (708 nucleotides) under uncultured bacterium. RNAcentral's name for it is "bacterial SSU rRNA". It matches the Rfam family "Bacterial small subunit ribosomal RNA", at positions 17 to 716 of the family's 1533-position model. The record is from RNAcentral.
UCAUGGCUCAGGAUGAACGCUAGCGACAGGCUUAACACAUGCAAGUCGAGGGGCAGCAUAAAAGUAGCAAUACUUUGGUGGCGACCAGCGCACGGGUGAGUAACGCGUAUGCAACCUACCUAUCAGAGGGGGAUAACCCGGCGAAAGUCGGACUAAUACCGCAUAAAACAGGGGCACCGCAUGGUGAUAUUUGUUAAAGAUUAAUUGCUGAUAGAUGGGCAUGCGUUCCAUUAGGUAGUUGGUGAGGUAAUGGCUCACCAAGCCGACGAUGGAUAGGGGAACUGAGAGGUUGGUCCCCCACACUGGUACUGAGACACGGACCAGACUCCUACGGGAGGCAGCAGUGAGGAAUAUUGGUCAAUGGGCGAGAGCCUGAACCAGCCAAGUCGCGUGAAGGAAGAAGGAUCUAUGGUUCGUAAACUUCUUUUGCAGGGGAAUAAAGUGGAGGACGUGUCCUCUUUUGUAUGUACCCUGAGAAUAAGGAUCGGCUAACUCCGUGCCAGCAGCCGCGGUAAUACGGAGGAUCCGAGCGUUAUCCGGAUUUAUUGGGUUUAAAGGGUGCGUAGGUGGUUUAAUAAGUCAGCGGUGAAAGUUUGCAGCUUAACUGUAAAAAUGCCGUUGAAACUGUUAGACUUGAGUGUAAAUGAGGUAGGCGGAAUGCGUGGUGUAGCGGUGAAAUGCUUAGAUAUCACGCAGAACUCCGAUUGC